RNAcentral lists this long non-coding RNA (9728 nucleotides) under Triticum aestivum (bread wheat). RNAcentral's name for it is "long non-coding RNA (TAES_LNC019905)". Lineage: Eukaryota; Viridiplantae; Streptophyta; Magnoliopsida; Poales; Poaceae. The record is from RNAcentral.
CUCGGUAUGAUCAUUCUUUCAUCAGUUUGUUCCCUGUUUCUUCUCUAGCCUGAGCCUGACACACUAUUCUAGCUAGACAUGGGUGUGGCUCGUGACACCUGAUGACCAAAUGGAUCUACGGCACCGUCGAAUCUCAAACUUUAACUGCCAAAACUAUUGUUUUUCAUCCUGUAGUCCCUUUUAGAAUUACGAAACGUCCUUUUUUGGGCCAUGAUUUCCAGGAAUGCUUUCUCGGGGUUUGUGUGCACGUAUUUCAAACCAUACGGACCUAAAAAUUAGAAGUCAUUCCAUCUUUAUUCCCCUAGAGCCUUCCGGCAGUUCCUAAACUGCUCUAUUUGGAGCAUGUUAUCAUUCUUGUUAGUUCUGAGUGAAUUCCCUCGGUAUGAUCAUUCUUUCAUCAGUUUGUUCCCCGUUUCUUCUCUAGUCUGAGCCUAGCACACUAUUCUAGCUAUUAAUGGGUGUGGAUCGUAACACCUGAUGAGCAAACGGAUCUACGGCACCAUCGAAUCUCAAACUUUAACUGCCAAAACUAUUGUUUUUCAUUCUGUAGUCCCUUUUCGAAUUAUUAAACGUCCUUUUUUGGGCCGAGAUUUCCAGGAACGCUUUCUCGGGGUUUGUGUGCAUGUAUUUCAAAUCAUACGGACCUAAAAAUUAGAAGGCAUUCCAUCUUUAUUCCCCUAGAGACUUCCAGCAGUUCCUAAACCGCUCCAGUCGGAGCAUGUUAUCAUUCUUGUUAGUUCUGAGCGAAUUCCCUCGGUAUGAUCAUUCUAUCAUCUGUUUGUUCCCUGUUUCUUCGCUAGCCUAAGCCUGACACACUAUUCUAGGUAGACAUGGGUGUGGCUCGUGACACCUAAUGACCAAACGGAUCUACGGCACCCUCGAAUCUCAAACUUUAACUACCAAAACUAUUGUUUUUCAUUCUGUAGUCCCUUUUAGAUUACUAAACAUCCUUUUUUGGGCUGAGAUUUCCAGGAACGCUUUCUCGGGGUUUGUGUGCAUGUAUUUCAAACCAAACGUUCCUAAAAUUAGAAGUCAUUCCAUCUUAAUUCCCCUAGAGCCUUCUAGCAAUUCCUAAACAGCUCUAGUCGGAGCAUGUUAUCAUUCUUGUUAAUUCUGAGCGAAUUCCCUCCGUAUGAUCAUUCUUUCAUCAGUUUGUUCUCCGUUUCUGCUCUAGUCUGAGCCUAGCACACUAUUCUAGCUAUUAAUGGGUGUGGAUCGUAACACCUAAUGACCAAACGGAUCUACGACACCAUCGAAUCUCAAACUUUAACUGCCAAAACUAUUGUUUUUCAUCCUGUAGUCCCUUUUCGAAUUAUUAAACGUCCUUUUUUGGGCCGAGAUUUCCAGGAACGCUUUCUCGGGGUUUGUGUGGAUGUAUUUCAAAUCAUACGGACCUAAAAAUUAGAAGGCAUUCCAUCUUUAUUCCCCUAGAGCCUUCCAGCAGUUCCUANNNNNNNNNNNNNNNNNNNNNNNNNNNNNNNNNNNNNNNNNNNNNNNNNNNNNNNNNNNNNNNNNNNNNNNNNNNNNNNNNNNNNNNNNNNNNNNNNNNNNNNNUCGCUAGCCUAAGCCUGACACACUAUUCUAGCUACACAUGGGUGUGGCUCGUGACACCUAAUGACCAAACAGAUCUACGGCACCGUCGAAUCUCAAACUUUAACUACCAAAACUAUUGUUUUUCAUUCUGUAGUCCCUUUUAAAUUACUAAACGUCAUUUUUUGGGCCGAGAUUUCUAGGAACGCUUUCUCGGGGUUUGUGUGCAUGUAUUUCAAGUCAUAUGGACCUAAAAAUUAGAAUCCAUUCCAUCUUUAUUCCCCUAGAGCCUUCCAGCAGUUCCUAAACUGCUCCAGUCGGAGCACAUUAUCAUUAUUGUUAGUUCUGACUGAAUUCCCUCGGUAUGAUCAUUCUUUCAUCAGUUUGUUCCCCGUUUCUGCUCUACUCUGAGCUUAACACACUAUUCUAGCUAGGCAUGGGUGUGGCUCGUAACACCUGAUGACCAAACGGAUCUACGAUACCGUCGAAUCUCAAACUUUGACUACGAAAACUAUUGUUUUUCAUUCUAUAGUCCCUUUUAGAAUUACUAAACGUCCUUUUUUGGGCCGAGAUUUCCAGGAACGCUUUCUCGGGGUUUGUGUGCACGUAUUUCAAACAAUACGGACCUAAAAAUUAGAAUUCAUUCCAUCUUUAUUCCCCUAGAGCCUUCCAGCAGUUCCUAAACCGCUCUAGUCGGAGCACUUUAUCAUUCUUGUUAGUUCUCAGCGAAUUCCCUCGGUAUGAUCAUUCUUUCAUCAGUUUGUUCCCCAUUUCUUCUCUAGCCUGAGCCUAACACACUAUUCUAGCUACACAUGGGUGUGGCUCGUCACACCCGAUGACCAAACGGAUCUACGGCACCGUCGAAUCUCAAACUUUAACUGCCAAAACUAUUGUUUUUCAUCCUGUAGUCCCUUUUAGAAUUACUAAACGUCCUUUUUUGGGUAGAUAUUUCUAGGAACGCUUUAUCGGGGUUUGUGUGCACGUAUUUCAGACCAUACGGACCUAAAAAUUAGAAGUCAUUCCAUCUUUAUUCCCCUAUAGCCUUCCAGCAGUUCCUAAACCGCUCCAGUCGGAGCCCGUUAUCAUUCUUGUUAGUUUUGAGCGAAUUCCCUCGGUAUGAUCAUUCUUUCAUCAGUUUGUUCCCCGUUUCUUCUCUAGUCUAAGCCUAGCACACUAGUUUAGCUAGACAUGGGUGUGGCUCGUAACACCUGAUGGCCAAACGGAUCUACGGCACCGUGAAAUCUCAAACUUUAACUGCCAAAACUAUUGUUUUUCAUCCUGUAGUCCCUUUUAGAAUUACUAAACGUCCUUUUUUGGGCUGAGAUUUCCAGGAACACUUUCUCGGGGUUUGUGUGCAUGUAUUUCAAACCAUAUGGACCUAAAAAUUAGAAGUCAUUCCAUCUUUAUUCCCCUAGAGCCUUCCAACAGUCCCUAAACCGCUCCAGUCCGAGCAUGUUAUCAUUCUUGUUAGUUCUGAGUGAAUUCCCUCGGUAUGAUCAUUCUUUCAUCAGUUUGUUCCCCAUUUCUUCUCUAGUCUGAGCCUAGCUCACUAUUCUAGCUAGACAUGGGUGUGGCUCAUAAUACCUGAUGACCAAACGGAUCUACGGCACCAUCGAAUCUCAAACUUUAACUGCCAAAACAAUUGUUUUUCAUCCUGUAGUCCCUUUUAGAAUUACUAAACGUCCUUUUUUGGGCCGAGAUUUCCAGGAACGCUUUCUCGGGGUUUGUGUGCACGUAUUUCAAACCAAGCGUUCUUAAAAAUUAGAAGUCAUUCCAUCUUUAUUCCCCUAGAGCCUUACAGCAGUUCCUAAACUGCUCCAGUCGGCGCACGUUAUCAUUCUUGUUAGUUCUGAGCGAAUUCCCUCGGUAUGAUCAUUCUUUCAUCAGUUUGUUCCCCGUUUCUUCUCUAGUUUGAGCCUAGCACACUAUUCUAGCUAGACAUGGGUGUGGGUCAUAACACCUGAUGACCAAACAGAUCGACGACACCAUCGAAUCUCAAACUUUAACUGCCAAAACUAUUGUUUUUCAUCCUGUAGUCCCUUUUAGAAUUACUAAACGUCCUUUUUUGGGUCGAGAUUUCCAAGAAAGCUUUCUCGGGCUUUGUGUGCACGUAUUUCAAACCAAAAAUUUCUAAAAAUUAGAAGUCAUUCCAUCUUUAUUCCCCUAGAGCCUUCCAGCAGUUCCUAAACAGCUCCAGUCGGAGCACGUUAUCAUUCUUGUUAGUUCUGAGCGAAUUCCCUCGGUAUGAUCAUUCUUUCAUCAGUUUGUUCCCCGUUUCUUCUAUAGUCUGAGCCUAUCACACUAUUCUAGCUAGACAUGGGUGUGGCUCGUAACACCUGAUGACCAAACGGAUCUACGGCACCAUCGAAUCUAAAACUUUAACUGCCAAAACUAUUGUUUUUCAUCCUGUAGUCCCUUUAGAACUACUAAAUGUCCUUUUUUGGGCCAAGAUUUCCAGGAACGCUUUCUCGGGGUUUGUGUGCAUGUAUUUCAAACCAUACGGACCUAAAAAUUAGGUCAUUCCAUCUUUAUUCCCCUAGAGCCUUCCAGCAGUUCCUAAACCGCUCCAGUCGGAGCAUGUUAUCAUUCUUGUUUGUUCUGAGUGAAUUCCCUCAGUAUGAUCAUUCUUUCAUCAUUUUGUUCCCCGUUUCUUCUCUAGUCUGAGCCUAGCACACUAUUCUAGCUAGACAUGGGUGUGGCUCGUAACACCUGACCAAACGGAUCUACGGCACCGUCGAAUCUCAAACUUUAACUGCCAAAACUAUUGUUUUUCAUCCUGUAGUCCCUUUUAAAUUUAAUAAACGUCCUUUUUUGGGCUGAGAUUUCCAGGAACGCUUUCGUGCGGUUUGUGUGCAAGUAUUUCAAAUCAUACAGACCUAUAAAUUAGAAGUCAUUUCAUCUUUAUUCCCCUAGAGCCUUCGAGCGGUUCCUAAACCGCUCAAGUCGGAGCAUGUUAUCAUUCUUGUUAGUUCUGAGUGAAUUCCCUCGGUAUGAUCAUUCUUUCAUCAGUUUGUUCCCCGUUCCUUCUCUAGUCUGAGCCUAGCACACUACUCUAGCUAGACAUGGGUUUGGCUCGUAACACCUGAUAACCAAACGGGUCUACGACACCAUCGAAUCUCAAACUUUUUUGGGCCAAGAUUUGCAGGAACGCUUUCUCGGGGUUUGUGUGCACGUAUUUCAAAUCAUGCGGACCUAAAAAUUAGAAGUCAUUCCAUAUUUGUUCCCCUAGAGCCUUCCAGCAGUUCCUAAACCGCUCCAGUUGGACCACGUUAUCAUUCUUGUUAGUUCUGAGUGAAUUACCUCGGUAUGAUCAUUCUUUCAUAAGUUUGUUCCCCGUUUCUUCUAUAGUCUGAGCCUAGCACACUACUCUAGCUAGACAUGGGAGUGGCUCGUAACACCUGAUGACCAAACAGAUCUAUGGCACCGUCGAAUCUCAAACUUUAACUGCCAAAACUAUUGUUUUUCAUCCUGUAGUCCCUUUUAGAAUUACUAAACGUCAUUUUUUGGGCUGAGAUUUCCAGGAACGCUUUCGCGGGGUUUGUGUGCACGUAUUUCAAACCAUAGGGACCUAAAAAUUAGAAGUCAUUCCAUCUUUAUUCCCCUAGAGCCUAACACACUAUUCUAGCUAGACAUGGGUGUGGCUCGUAACACCUGAUGACAAAACGGAUCUACGGCACCAUCGAAUCUCAAACUUUAACUGCCAAAAUUAUUGUAUUUCAUCCUGUAGUCCCUUUUAGAAUUAUUAAACGUCCUUUUUUUGGGCUGUGAUUUCCAUGAACGCUUUCUCGGGGUUUCUGUGCACGUAUUUCAAAUCAUACGGACCUAAAAAUUAGAAGUCAUUCCAUCUUUAUUCCCCUAGAGCCUUCCAACAGUUCCUAAACCGCUCCAGUCGGAGCACAUUAUCAUUCUUGUUAGUUCUGAGUGAAUUCCCAUGGUAUGAUCAUUCUUUCAUUAGUUUGUUCCCCGUUUCUUCUCUAGUCUGAGCCUACCACACUAUUCUAGCUAGACAUGGGUGUGGCUCAUAACACCUUAUGACCAAACGGAUCUACGGCACCAUCGAAUCUCAAACUUUAACCGCCAAAACUAUUGUUUUUCAUCAUGUAGUCCCUUUUAGAAUUACUAAACGUCCUUCUUUGGGCAGAGAUUUCCAGGAAUGCUUUAUCGGGGUUUGUGUGCACGUAUUUCAGACCAUACGGACCUAAAAAUUAGAAGUCAUUCCAUCUUUAUUCCCCUAGAGCCUUCCAAUAGUUCCUGAACCGCUCCAGUCGGAGCAUGUUAUCAUUCUUGUUAGUUCUGAGCGAAUUCCCUCGGUAUGAUCAUUCUUUCAUCAGUUUGUUUCCCGUUUCUUCUCUAGUCUGAGCCUAGCACACUACUCUAGCUAGACAUUGGUGUGGCUCGUAACACCUGAUGACCAAACGGAUCUACGGCACUGUCAAAUCUCAAACUUUAACUGCCAAAACUAUUGUUUUUCAUCCUGUAGUCCCUUUUAGAAUUACUAAACGUCCUUUUUUGGGCCGAUAUUUCCAGGAACGCUUUCUUGGGGUUUGUGUGCAUGUAUUUCAAACCAUAUGGAACUAAAAAUUACAAGUCAUUCCAUCUUUAUUCCCCUAGAGCCUUCCAGCAGUUCCUAAACCGCUCCAAUCGGAGCAUGUUAUCAUUCUUGUUAAUUCUGAGUGAAUUCCCUUGGUAUGAUCAUUCUUUCAUCAGUUUGUUCCCGAUUUCUUCUCCAGUCUGAGCCUAGCUCACUAUUCUAGCUAGACAUGGGUGUGGCUCAUAAUACCUGAUGACCAAACGGAUCUACGACACCAUCGAAUCUCAAACUUUAACUGCCAAAACUAUUGUUUUUCAUCUUGUAGUCCCUUUUAGAAUUACUAAACGUCCUUUUGUGGGCUGAGAUUUCCAGGAACGCUUUAUCGGGGUUUGUGUGCUCGUAUUUCAGACCAUACGGACCUAAAAAUUAGAACUCAUUCCAUCUUUAUUCCCCUAGAGCCUUCCAGCAGCUCCUAAACCGCUCCAGUCGAGCACGUUAUCAUUCUUGUUAGUUCUGAGCAAAUUCCCUCGUUAUGAUCAUUCUUUCAUCAGUUUGUUCCCCGUUUCUUCUCUGGUCUGAGCCUAGCACACUAUUCUAGCUAUUAAUGGGUGUGGAUCGUAACACUUGAUGAUCAAACAGAUCUACGGCACCAUCGAUUCUCAAACUUUAACUGCCAAAACUAUUGUUUUUCAUCCUGUAGUCCCUUUUAGAAUUAUUAAACGUCCUUUUUUGGGCCGAGAUUUCUAGGAACGCUGUCUCGGGGUUUGUGUGCACGUAUUUCUAAUCAUACGGACCUAAAAAUUAGAAGUCAUUCCAUAUUUAUUCCCCUAGAGCCUUCCAGCAGUUCCUAAACCGCUCAAGUCGGAGCACGUUAUCAUUCUUGUUAGUUCUUAGCGAAUUCCCUCGAUAUGAUCAUUCUUUCAUCAGUUUGUUCCCCGUUUCUUCUCUAGCCUGAGCCCGACACACUAUUCUAGCUAGACAUGGGUGUGGCUCGUAACACCUAAUGACCAAACGGAUCUACGGCACCGUUGAAUCUCAAACUUUAACAGCCAAAAUUAUUGUUUUUCAUUAUGUAGUCUCUUUUAAAUUACUAAACGUCAUUUUUUGAGCUGAGAUAUCCAGGAACGCUUUCUCGGGGUUUUUGUGCACGUAUUUCAAAUCAUACGGACCUGAAAAUUAGAAGUCAUUCCAUCUUUAUUCCCCUAGAGCCUUCCAGCAGUUCCUAAACCGCUCCAGUUGGACCACGUUAUCAUUCUUGUUAGUUCUGAGUGAAUUACCUUAGUAUGAUCAUUCUUUCAUCAGUUUGUUCCCUGUUUCUUCUAUAGUCUGAGCCUAGCACACUACUCUAGCUAGACAUGGGUGUGGCUCGUAACACCUGAUGACCAAACAGAUCUACGGCACCGUCGAAUCUCAAACUUUAACUGCCAAAACUAUUGUUUUUCAUCCUGUAGACCCUUUUAGAAUUACUAAACGUCCUUUUUUGGGCUGAGAUUUCCGGGAACGCUUUCACGGGGUUUGUGUGCACGUAUUUUAAACCAUAUGGACCUAAAAAUUAGAAGUCAUUCCAUCUUUAUUCCCAUAGAGCCUAACACACUAUUCUAGCUAGAUAUGGGUGUGGCUCGUAACACCUGAUGACCAAACGGAUCUACGGCACCAUCGAAUCUCAAACUUUAACUGCCAAAACUAUUGUAUUUCAUCAUGUAGUCCCUUUUAGAAUUAUUAAACGUCCUUUUUUAGGGCCGUGAUUUCCAUGAACGCUUUCUUGGGGUUUCUGUGCAUGUAUUUCAAAUCAUACGGACCUAAAAAUUAGAAGUCAUUCCAUCUUUAUUCCCCUAGAGCCUUCCAGCAGUUCCUAAACCGCUUCAGUCGGAGCACGUUAUCAUUCUUGUUAGUUCUGAGUGAAUUCCCUUGGUAUGAUCAUUCUUUCAUCAGUUUGUUCCCCGUUUCUUCUCUAGUCUGAGCCUAGCACACUAUUCUAGCUAGACAUGGGUGUGGCUCAUAACACCUCAUGACCAAACGGAUCUACGGCACCAUCGAAUCUCAAACUUUAACUGCCAAAACUAUUGUUUUUCAUCCUGUAGUCCCUUUUAGAAUUACUAAACGUCCUUUUUUGGGCAGAUAUUUCCAGGAACGCUUUAUCGGGGUUUGUGUGCUCGUAUUUCAGACCAUACGGACCUAAAAAUUAGAACUCAUUCCAUCUUUAUUCCCCUAUAGCCUUCCAGCAAUUCCGAAACCACUCUAUUCGGAGCACGUUAUCAUUCUUGUUAGUUCUAAAAGAAUUCCCUCGGUAUGAUCAUUCUUUCAUCAGUUUAUUUCCCGUUUCUUCUCUAGUCUAAGCCUAGCACACUAGUCUAGCUAGACAUGGGUGUGGCUCGUAACACCUGAUGACCAAACGGAUCUACGGCACCGUCAAAUCUCAAACUUUAACUGCCAAAACUAUUGUUUUUCAUCCUGUAGUCCCUUUAGAAUUACAAAAGGUCCUUUUUUGGGCCGAGAUUUCCAGGAACACUUUCUCGGGGGUUUGUGUGCAUGUAUUUCAAACCAUAUGGACCUAAAAAUUAGAAGUCAUUCCAUCUUUAUUCCCCUAGAGCCUUCCAGCAGUUCCUAAACCGCUCCAGUCGGAGCAUGUUAUCAUUCUUGUUAGUUCUGAGUGAAUUCCCUCGGUAUGAUCAUUCUUUCAUCAGUUUGUUCCCCAUUUCUUCUCUAGUCUGAGCCUAGCUCACUAUUCUAGCUAGACAUGGGUGUGGCUCGUAAUACCUGAUGACCAAAUGGAUCUACGGCACCAUCGAAUCUCAAACUUUUACUGCCAAAACUAUUGUUUUUCAUCCUGUAGUCCCUUUUAGAAUUACUAAACGUCCUUUUUUGGGCUGAGAUUUCCAGGAACGCUUUCUUGGGGUUUGUGUGCACGUAUUUCAAACCAAGCGUUCCUAAAAAUUAGAAGUCAUUCCAUCUUUAUUCCCCUAGAGCCUUACAGCAGUUCCUAAACUGCUCCAGUCGGCGCACGUUAUCAUUCUUGUUAGUUCUGAGUGAAUUCCCUCGGUAUGAUCAUUCUUUCAUCAGUUUGUUCCCCGUUUCUUCUCUAGUCUGAGCCUACCACACUAUUCUAGCUAGACAUGGGUGUGGCUCAUAACACCUUAUGACCAAACGGAUCUACGGCACCAUCGAAUCUCAAACUUUAACUGCCAAAACUAUUGUUUUUCAUCCUGUAGUCCCUUUUAGAAUUACUAAACGUCCUUUUUUGGGCAGAUAUUUCCAGGAAUGCUUUAUCGGGGUUUGUGUGCACGUAUUUCAGACCAUACGGACCUAAAAAUUAGAAGUCAUUCCAUCUUUAUUCCCCUAUAGCCUUCCACCAGUUCCUAAACCACUCCAGUCGGAGCACGUUAUCAUUCUUGUUAGUUCUGAGCGAAUUCCCUCGGUAUGAUCAUUCUUUCAUCAGUUUAUUCCCCGUUUCUUCUCUAGUCUAAGCCUAGCACACUAGUCUAGCUAGACAUGGGUGUGGCUCGUAACACCUGAUGACCAAACGGAUCUACGGCACCGUCAAAUCUCAAACUUUAACUGCCAAAACUAUUGUUUUUCAUCCUGUAGUCCCUUUUAGAAUAACUAAACGUCCUUUUUUGGGCCGAGAUUUCCGGGAACACUUUCUCGGGGUUUGUGUGCAUGUAUUUCA